Octopus sinensis (East Asian common octopus) is the source of this 186-nucleotide long non-coding RNA. RefSeq lists it as uncharacterized. Lineage: Eukaryota; Metazoa; Mollusca; Cephalopoda; Octopoda; Octopodidae. The record is from RefSeq and is a predicted model, not a curated record. The transcript is spliced from 3 exons.
CAUCAUCAUCAUCAUUUAACGUCCGUUUUCCCAUGCUGGCAUGGGUUGGACGGUUUGAGAGGAGCCGGUAAGGCCAGGGGCCAUACCAGGCUCCAUUCUCUGUUUUGUCAUGGCUUCUAUGGCUGGAUGUCCUUCAUAAUGCCAACCACUUCACAGAGUGUAGUAGAGGCUUUCUAUGUGACACCA